CAAUAGCGUAUAUUAAAGUUGUUGCGGUAAAAAAGCUCGUAGUUGGAUUUCUACCGAAGAUAGCCGGUCGGGUCUUCGACCUUGUAUCUGGUUUUGUCUUUGGUAUCCUCAUAGGGAACGUUUCUGCGCUUUAUUGCGUGGUGCGGUAUCUAUGACUUUUACUUUGAGGAAAUUAGAGUGUUCACGGCAGGCAAACGCCUUGAAUAUAUUAGCAUGGAAUAAUAACAUAGGAUCUUCGUCCUAUUUUGUUGGUUUCUAGGGCUAAGAUAAUGAUUAAUAGGGAUAAUUGGGGGCAUCUGUAUCAACGCGUCAGAGGUGGAAUUCUUGGAUCGCGUUGCGACAAACUACUGCGAAAGCAUUUGCCAAGGAUGUUUUCAUUGA
This 381-nucleotide ribosomal RNA is filed under the name uncultured eukaryote. Its description in RNAcentral is "partial 18S ribosomal RNA". It matches the Rfam family "Eukaryotic small subunit ribosomal RNA", at positions 592 to 976 of the family's 1831-position model. The record is from RNAcentral.